AUUUCUCUCUCGGACCAAGAGCACAGGUGGUGCGUGUUUCUCGUCAGCUCGUGUCGAGAGAUGGUGUUAAAACCCCCACCACGAGCAAACCCCUUGUUUUUAGUUGCUAACAAGUAAGGGAGAUCACUCUAGAGAGACUGCCGAUAAUAAAUAGAAGGAAGGGGGGGAUGACAACAAAUCAUCCUCCCUUUUAUGUGCUGGCCUACACACGUCCUACAAUGGUCGGUACAACGAGGAGCUACCCAGCGAUGUGAAACAAAUCUAUAAAAGCCGAUCCCAGUUCGGAUGGCAGGCACCCACUCGCCUGCAUGAAGAAGGAGUAGCUAGUAAUCACAAAAAAGAAUGCCGGGAUAAAUUCCUUCCCGUUUUUUAAAACACAAAAAA
This 384-nucleotide ribosomal RNA is filed under the name uncultured Tissierellia bacterium. RNAcentral describes it as "partial 16S ribosomal RNA". It matches the Rfam family "Bacterial small subunit ribosomal RNA", at positions 1013 to 1376 of the family's 1533-position model. Lineage: Bacteria; Bacillati; Bacillota; Tissierellia. The record is from RNAcentral.